RNAcentral lists this ribosomal RNA (496 nucleotides) under uncultured Lachnospiraceae bacterium. RNAcentral describes it as "partial 16S ribosomal RNA". Lineage: Bacteria; Bacillati; Bacillota; Clostridia; Lachnospirales; Lachnospiraceae. The record is from RNAcentral.
CACGUAGUUAGCCGGGGCUUCUUAGUCAGGUACCGUCAUUAUCUUCCCUGCUGAUAGAGCUUUACAUACCGAAAUACUUCUUCACUCACGCGGCGUCGCUGCAUCAGGGUUCCCCCCACUGUGCAAUAUUCCCCACUGCUGCCUCCCGUAGGAGUUUGGGCCGUGUCUCAGUCCCAAUGUGGCCGGUCACCCUCUCAGGUCGGCUACUGAUCGUCGCCUUGGUGGGCCGUUACCCCGCAACUAGCUAAUCAGACGCGGGCCCAUCUCAUACCACCGGAGUUUUUACCGCUGUACCAUGCGGUACCGCGGUCUUAUGCGGUAUUAGCAGUCAUUUCUAACUGUUAUCCCCCUGUAUGAGGCAGGUUGCCCACGCGUUACUCACCCGUCCGCCGCUCAGUCAGACUGCUUCGCCUCCGAAGAUUUAAAGCAGAAUGCUUCGCUCGACUUGCAUGUGUUAAGCACGCCGCCAGCGUUCAUCCUGAGCCAGGAUCAAACU